AGAAACUCACCGUCGAAAAUCAAGAGGGAAAAGGCAUUUCAGAAAGAAUUACCACAGCAAAUAGACAUUUCGCCAUGCCGGAGACAACGCCACUAACAUCAAAUGACGCGGAGGAAGAUGACGCUCAACGCGGUAACGAAAUGGAUAUCGAUGAAGCCAUUGUAAGCGGCAACGUGGAGGAAGUGAAA
Hyalella azteca is the source of this 188-nucleotide long non-coding RNA. RefSeq lists it as uncharacterized. The record is from RefSeq and is a predicted model, not a curated record. Lineage: Eukaryota; Metazoa; Arthropoda; Malacostraca; Amphipoda; Hyalellidae. The transcript is spliced from 3 exons.